UCCAGCCGUUGUGGGGCCUGGUUCCUAGUGAGUCGGUAUCCCAGGCCGCCCACCCGCUGGUCGGGAUAUUUUUAACUUUUUAUUAUAGUUGACGUGUUGUGAUUGUACAUAUUUAUGGGCGUCUGGGGCGCCAGAAAUCCAGGAAAAGCUAGAGGUGUCAAGUUGGCCAGGUGCCUUUUGCCACCCAUACUACUGCUUACUGUGUCUCUAUGAUUUGGAAAAUGGUUCCUGUGCAUUUCCAGAGAGGAAAAUUUACUCCACCAAAAUAAUAUUGGUUCUCCUGAUUGAGAAUGAAUAGAUUCCUCUCAGUUGCCCAGAUUGAUGACAUUUGCGCAGCAAAAGUAUUAUCAAGCUGUCAGUGGUAGGAAUGUCAACUAGACAGCCACUUGCCUCCAAGGGCAAAAUAAAGUCUGAUCCAGAUGCCACUUCCUUGAGGCUGAUCGGGGCACUGAAGACUUUACUGAUGUCAUUUGGCAGAAGAAUACAUGGAGAUGAUCUUUGGAUACGAAAGCAUUAUCUGCAAGGCUGUUGUCAAGCAUGGAAGCCCCUUCUUUAGGCAAGCAAGAGGCACGCUCUGCAGCGCAAGUCAAGGCACUUGACCCAGACUACUGAGGGUUACUCCAAGGCAGAUAGGUGUCUUGAGGUUAUGGAUCACUCUCCCACACUUAGAAAACUGAGAUAAGUUACUUGCUUUCUAAAACUUCAGAACAUUGCCAAGAUAAGUAGCUUCUGAAUUUGGAAUAUUAACAGUGACUUUCUUUUCUCUGCUGACUCCUCUAAAGGGAACUUUCAGGUGGAAGACUUGUGUACCUUCUCGUCUGCGGUGUGUGGUUGCAGUGCUAGCCCACAGCCCAGUCUCAAGACGCACUUGGAUGAGCAACUUC
Molecule: long non-coding RNA, 884 nt
Organism: Nycticebus coucang (slow loris)
Lineage: Eukaryota; Metazoa; Chordata; Mammalia; Primates; Lorisidae
Exons: 5
Source: RefSeq, a predicted model, not a curated record